RNAcentral lists this ribosomal RNA (253 nucleotides) under uncultured bacterium. RNAcentral describes it as "partial 16S ribosomal RNA". It matches the Rfam family "Bacterial small subunit ribosomal RNA", at positions 524 to 776 of the family's 1533-position model. The record is from RNAcentral.
UACGGAGGGUGCGAGCGUUGUCCGGAAUCACUGGGCGUAAAGGGCGCGUAGGCGGCGCGGGGAGUCAACGGUGAAAGCUCGGCGCUCAACGCCGAGUCGGCCGUCGAUACUCCCGUGCUCGAGCACUGUAGAGGCAGGUGGAAUUCCGGGUGUAGCGGUGGAAUGCGUAGAGAUCCGGAAGAACACCGGUGGCGAAGGCGGCCUGCUGGGCAGUAGCUGACGCUGAGGCGCGACAGCGUGGGGAUCAAACAGG